UACACGACUCUCGGCAACGGAUAUCUCGGCUCUCGCAUCGAUGAAGAACGUAGCGAAAUGCGAUACCUGGUGUGAAUUGCAGAAUCCCGCGAACCAUCGAGUCUUUGAACGCAAGUUGCGCCCGAGGCCAUUCGGCCGAGGGCACGCCUGCCUGGGCGUCACG
RNAcentral lists this ribosomal RNA (163 nucleotides) under Chascolytrum erectum. Its description in RNAcentral is "5.8S ribosomal RNA". It matches the Rfam family "5.8S ribosomal RNA". From Rfam's summary of the family: 5.8S ribosomal RNA (5.8S rRNA) is a component of the large subunit of the eukaryotic ribosome. It is transcribed by RNA polymerase I as part of the 45S precursor that also contains 18S and 28S rRNA. The record is from RNAcentral. Lineage: Eukaryota; Viridiplantae; Streptophyta; Magnoliopsida; Poales; Poaceae. RNAcentral also lists the same sequence under 1 other name.